CGUUUUUUACAAAACAUGUUCUGGUGUAAUUCUAUAUUAGAUCUAACCUGCUCAAUGAAACGUUGUUUUAAAUGGCCGCGGUAUUUUGACCGUGCGAAGGUAGCAUAAUCAUUUGUCUUUUAAUUGGAGGCUUGUAUGAAUGGUUGGAUGAAGGAGUGGCUUUCUUUAUAUUAUGGAAUUGAAUUUAACUUUUAAGUCAAAAGGCUUAGAUUUUUAAAUGGGACGAGAAGACCCUAUAGAAUUUUAUUUUUAUAUGAUUAAUUUAUUGUUUUGGUUAAUAUUUUAUUUAAUUAUUUUAAAAAUUUUGUUGGGGUGACAGUAAGAUUUAUUUAACUCUUAUAAUUAAUUUUUUUAUUAAUUAGUAUAUAUUAGAUCCUUAAUUUAGGAUAAUUAGAUUAAAUUACCUUAGGGAUAACAGCGUAAUUCUACUGGAGAGUUCUUAUUGAUAGUGGGGUUUGCGACCUCGAUGUUGGAUUAAAAUAAGAUUUGAGUGCAGAAGCUUAAUUUCUAGGUCUGUUCGACCUUUAAUUUUUUACAUGAUCGGUUUUCCACCCGG
Molecule: ribosomal RNA, 556 nt
Filed under: Euschistus heros (neotropical brown stinkbug)
Lineage: Eukaryota; Metazoa; Arthropoda; Insecta; Hemiptera; Pentatomidae
Description: partial large subunit ribosomal RNA
Rfam family: Archaeal large subunit ribosomal RNA
Source: RNAcentral